This 253-nucleotide ribosomal RNA is filed under the name uncultured bacterium. Its description in RNAcentral is "partial 16S ribosomal RNA". It matches the Rfam family "Bacterial small subunit ribosomal RNA", at positions 524 to 776 of the family's 1533-position model. The record is from RNAcentral.
UACAGAGGUCUCGAGCGUUAGGCGGAAUCACUGGGCUUAAAGCGUGUGUAGGUGGAUCGUUAAGUACCUUGUGAAAUCCCACGGCUUAACCGUGGAACUGCUUGGUAUACUGGCGGUCUUGAGCCAGCUAGGGGCUACCGGAACAAAUGGUGGAGCGGUGAAAUGCGUAGAUAUCAAGUGGAACACCAGUGGCGAAGGCGAGUCUCUGGACAAUUCCUGACGCUGAGGCACGAAAGCCAGGGGAGCAAACGGG